RNAcentral lists this ribosomal RNA (792 nucleotides) under uncultured bacterium. RNAcentral describes it as "bacterial SSU rRNA". It matches the Rfam family "Bacterial small subunit ribosomal RNA", at positions 8 to 796 of the family's 1533-position model. The record is from RNAcentral.
AGAGUUUGAUCAUGGCUCAGAACGAACGCUGGCGGCGUGCUUAACACAUGCAAGUCGAACGCGCAGCAUUCUGUAGCAAUACAGGGUGUGGGCGCGUGGCGAACGGGUGCGUAACACGUGGAUAACCUUCCUUGAGGUGGGGAAUAACCCAGUGAAAAUUGGGCUAAUACCGCAUAACAUCGCGAUGGCACAUGCUGAUGCGAUCAAAGGCGCAAGUCGCCACAAGAGGGAUCCGCGGCCGAUUAGCUUGUUGGCGAGGUAAUGGCUCACCAAGGCAAUGAUCGGUAGCCGGACUGAGAGGUUGGCCGGCCACACUGGAACUGAGACACGGUCCAGACUCCUACGGGAGGCAGCAGUGGGGAAUCUUGCACAAUGGACGAAAGUCUGAUGCAGCAACGCCGCGUGGGGGAUGAAGCUUCUCGGAGUGUAAACCCCUUUCGACCCGGAAGAAUGCCCGCAAGGGUAUGACGGUACGGGUAUAAGAAGCCCCGGCUAACUACGUGCCAGCAGCCGCGGUAAUACGUAGGGGGCCAGCGUUGCUCGGAAUUACUGGGCGUAAAGGGUCCGUAGGCGGUGUAGCAAGUCGAUAGUGAAAUCUCUGGGCUUAACCCAGAGGCGGCUAACGAAACUGCUGUGCUAGAGUGUGAGAGAGGCGAGUGGAAUUACGGGUGUAGCGGUGAAAUGCGUAGAUGUCCGUAGGAACAUCCGAGGCGAAGGCGGCUCGCUGGAUCACAACUGACGCUGAGGGACGAAAGCUAGGGGAGCAAACAGGAUUAGAUACCCUAGUAGUCC